This 645-nucleotide long non-coding RNA is filed under the name Monodelphis domestica (gray short-tailed opossum). Its description in RNAcentral is "lncRNA (ENSMODG00000037952.1)". The record is from RNAcentral. Lineage: Eukaryota; Metazoa; Chordata; Mammalia; Didelphimorphia; Didelphidae.
UUCCUCACAACUUUCAGGCCCUUUUUUCUAUUUCCUCAUUGACUUGGGUUGUUGUUCAGUUUAGUCUCUGGACAUUGGAAGUAUCAUUAAAGGGAAAGAGCACGGAGGGAAAUGUGGUCCUCCAGGAGCACUCCUAGGUUCAUGGGUACAAUGUAAGCCCUUCCAGUGAAGGGACUGUCGUUUCACUUUUGUCUUGGAAUCUCCCAUGACUGGUACAUGGUAUAUCCCUCCAGCCAUAGAACCCUGCCAUAUGCCAGAGAAGUAUCUUUAAUCAAAACAAAUCAACAUCUGACAAUAUAUGUCUUAUGAAACACAUCUAUUUCACCAGCUUACUUCUGGGAGGAAGAGUUUUUCACCAUUGGUCCUUUGGAGUCAGGCAAACUCUCCUGUGGGGACACUCACAUGCCUUGAAAUGGUCUGGAGGAGGCGAGCAGGUGGGAGGGAAGAAGACAAAAGCAAAGUGUCUGUCUGAUCAAUCCCUGAAACACAGAAUGGCGGCUGCAUCGUUUUGCAGGUGCAGAGGAAAUGGGCUUGAAAUGAUGACCAAUGAUCAGGAACAUGACUGAAAUGAAGCCAGCAGCCUCACAACUCUCAGGACGACAGAAUCAUCCACACACCAAUAAAGUGUUCACGUUAUGAUAUUCA